RNAcentral lists this long non-coding RNA (836 nucleotides) under Zostera marina. RNAcentral's name for it is "long non-coding RNA (ZMAR_LNC000144)". The record is from RNAcentral. Lineage: Eukaryota; Viridiplantae; Streptophyta; Magnoliopsida; Alismatales; Zosteraceae.
AAAAUAUUGAUAAAAUGAAAUAUUAUAAUGAAUAUAAUUUUUUUUUACAUUACAAUAAUUUGUAAAAAUCGAAUUAUAAUUUAAUUAAUAAAACAUAAGAUCUAAUUAGUUUUGCCAAUUUCAUUCAAAAAAUAAUAAUUGUACCUAAAUUCGAUAUAUGAUAAAUAAGUAUAUAUAUGUACAAUAUUUUAUUUUACUUUUAAAUAAUAAUUAUUUUAUUUAUAUUCUAAAGAAUAUGAAUUCCAUCCUUCAUCUUCCUCGUUGAUACACAUUUUCUGAUGGCAAUUCAAUGAUUUCGUUCUCUACGACUAAAUUAAUUCGAUGUGUAUUGAAAUUUGAUCUGCCAACUUCUUCUUCGCGAUUUUCAUCUGAAUCACAUAGAUCAAAUUUCAAUUAUUACGUAUAUCUUUGUUAUUUCAGAAAAAAAAUAUGAGAACCAUUAGAUGGGCGCACCCAAUAUGGCCGCACCUAAUCCUAGGUCAUCGAAUUUAAUUAUAUGUCUAUCAUAGAAUAUAUAUAUAUGUAAAUAAUAUUAGAGUUAGAAUAAUAAACCUGUCAUUAUAUGCGUUUCGAGUUGAGAAGAAUGGUGAAUAUAAAGAUUGUCGAUGGUUUGGCUACCGUUUUGUCUUUCGUCGUCAUCCUUCUUCAUAUAUGUUCUGAAAACAGUAUAUGCGAGAAAAACUAAAGUCAUUGAGACGAAAACCAGCGAUGCUAUAGGAAGAUUAAUAGCCUCAUCUGGCAUUGGUGGUGGAAUUGAAGAACUCAUUAUAUUGCCAAAGGGAAAAAGAAACCAAUAUAUCAAUGCAAACUCUUAAGUCGAUAAUGGUUAUCGCGAC